UGAGGAAUAUUGGUCAAUGGACGGAAGUCUGAACCAGCCAAGUAGCGUGCAGGAUGACGGCCCUAUGGGUUGUAAACUGCUUUUGUAUGGGGAUAAAGUUAGGGACGUGUCCCUAUUUGCAGGUACCAUACGAAUAAGGACCGGCUAAUUCCGUGCCAGCAGCCGCGGUAAUACGGAAGGUCCAGGCGUUAUCCGGAUUUAUUGGGUUUAAAGGGAGCGUAGGCUGGAGAUUAAGUGUGUUGUGAAAUGUAGACGCUCAACGUCUGAAUUGCAGCGCAUACUGGUUUCCUUGAGUACGCACAACGUUGGCGGAAUUCGUCGUGUAGCGGUGAAAUGCUUAGAUAUGACGAAGAACUCCGAUUGCGAAGGCAGCUGACGGGAGCGCAACUGACGCUUAAGCUCGAAGGUGCGGGUAUCAAACAGGAUUAGAUACCCCGGUAGUCCGCACAGUAAACGAUGGAUGCCCGCUGUUGGUACCUGGUAUCAGCGGCUAAGCGAAAGCAUUAAGCAUCCCACCUGGGGAGUACGCCGGCAACGGUG
Molecule: ribosomal RNA, 540 nt
Filed under: uncultured bacterium
Lineage: Bacteria
Description: bacterial SSU rRNA
Rfam family: Bacterial small subunit ribosomal RNA
Source: RNAcentral